AUCAGCUCCAUUUUAACAUAGCAUCCUCCGAGUCCCCAUAGUUCACUGCGGACAAGCAAGCAGAAAUCGUAGCAUAGCAUAGGAAUCACACCUCCUACAAGCGUUUUGGCAGAGUAUUGAAGAGUGGCGCUCUGACGUACCAGUAUGUAGUGCUCACAACCCGUCGGUCACUCUGGCGAAGGGUCACGUAGGAGUAUUAAUCAGUCAAAGCUGAGGAAAUGAAAAAUAAUGCUCACUGCAAUCCAGCGGGUGGUGGCAAGGUGCAGAAACCCUGGCACCUACCAAAAUCACACUGGUGUGCACUCAGCUGCAAUCAGUGCAACUCAAAGCAGCUGCCUGGACCUCUCUCCUGAGAGAAGGAGGGUUUCAGCUUGAGGAGCAUUGAAAGAGGCCACUGGUUUACAACCUGAUGAAUCCUGCUUUGAAACCAUGUGAUGACCUACAAUAAAUGGAAAAAGCAGA
Long non-coding RNA from Notolabrus celidotus (New Zealand spotty), 462 nucleotides. RefSeq lists it as uncharacterized. NCBI's taxonomy places the organism in Eukaryota, Metazoa, Chordata, Actinopteri, Labriformes, Labridae. The transcript has 2 exons. The record is from RefSeq and is a predicted model, not a curated record.